RNAcentral lists this unclassified non-coding RNA (339 nucleotides) under soil metagenome. Its description in RNAcentral is "partial contains 5.8S ribosomal RNA, internal transcribed spacer 2, and large subunit ribosomal RNA". The stretch from base 1 to 120 matches the Rfam family "5.8S ribosomal RNA", at positions 35 to 154 of the family's 154-position model. The record is from RNAcentral.
GAUGAAGAACGUAGCGAAAGGCGAUACGUAGUGUGAAUUACAGAAUUCAGUGAAUCAUCGAAUCUUUGAACGCACAUUGCACCUCUCGGUAUUCCGGGAGGUAUGCCUGUUCGAGCGUCAUUUGUACCCUCAAGCUCUGCUUGGUGUUGGGUGUUUGUUCCGCCUCUGUGUGUGAACUCGCCUCAAAACAAUUGGCAGCCGGCGUACUUGUUUCGGAGCGCAGCACAUUUUGCGAUCCAGAUCAACGUACAGCGGCAUCCAAGAAGCCUUAUUUAACGCUCUUGACCUCGGAUCAGGUAGGGAUACCCGCUGAACUUAAGCAUAUCAAUAAGCGGAGGA